CACGUAGGGUGCGAGCGUUGUCCGGAAUUAUUGGGCGUAAAGAGCUCGUAGGCGGUGUGUCGCGUCGGCCGUGAAAACCUGCAGCUUAACUGUGGGCGUGCGGUCGAUACGGGCAUCACUGGAGUUCGGCAGGGGAGACUGGAAUUCCUGGUGUAGCGGUGAAAUGCGCAGAUAUCAGGAGGAACACCGGUGGCGAAGGCGGGUCUCUGGGCCGAUAUUGACGCUGAGGAGCGAAAGCGUGGGGAGCAAACAGG
Molecule: ribosomal RNA, 254 nt
Filed under: uncultured bacterium
Lineage: Bacteria
Description: partial 16S ribosomal RNA
Rfam family: Bacterial small subunit ribosomal RNA
Source: RNAcentral